RNAcentral lists this ribosomal RNA (449 nucleotides) under uncultured bacterium. RNAcentral's name for it is "partial 16S ribosomal RNA". It matches the Rfam family "Bacterial small subunit ribosomal RNA", at positions 29 to 523 of the family's 1533-position model. The record is from RNAcentral.
AGCGAACGCUGGCGGCAGGCUUAACACAUGCAAGUCGAGCGGGCCCUUCGGGGUCAGCGGCGGACGGGUGAGUAACGCGUGGGAACGUGCCUUCUGGUUCGGAAUAACUCAGGGAAACUUGAGCUAAUACCGGAUACGCCCUUUUGGGGAGAGGUUUACUGCCGGAAGAUCGGCCCGCGUCUGAUUAGCUAGUUGGUGGGGUAACGGCCUACCAAGGCGACGAUCAGUAGCUGGUCUGAGAGGAUGAUCAGCCACACUGGGACUGAGACACGGCCCAGACUCCUACGGGAGGCAGCAGUGGGGAAUAUUGGACAAUGGGCGCAAGCCUGAUCCAGCCAUGCCGCGUGAGUGAUGAAGGCCUUAGGGUUGUAAAGCUCUUUUAUCCGGGACGAUAAUGACGGUACCGGAGGAAUAAGCCCCGGCUAACUUCGUGCCAGCCGCCGCGGUAA